Molecule: long non-coding RNA, 3230 nt
Organism: Acipenser ruthenus (sterlet)
Lineage: Eukaryota; Metazoa; Chordata; Actinopteri; Acipenseriformes; Acipenseridae
Exons: 3
Source: RefSeq, a predicted model, not a curated record
GGGCUGGAGAUGCGGUGUCCUGUUGAUAUGUAUUGACUUUUAAACCUGUUUUACUGUGAAUAAAAUGACUUUGUUCAAUUUAAACAGUGUGUGUUGUGUAAUGUUAUUUUAUAUAAAAUACAUUGGACCUGACAACCUGACAGGUGCAGAAUAAGUGGACCGCAAAGGGUUAAGAAACAAACUAAAUGUGACUGAAGACAAAAGAACACAAGCCUUUCAAGAGUUUCUGAUUUCUUUUUAUUCCUUGUUUCCUAGAAAAAGCUGUAUGUGGGUUCUCACUACGAGGUGGUUGCGAUUGACCUGCAGAAUUGUGAGCAGUACGGCGAUGGAUGCGAGCAGUGCAUUUUAUCUAGAGACCCCUACUGCGGCUGGAGGAACAAAAAUUGCGCUAAAGCAGAACGUGGCGCUGUUCAGCAUGUGGAGGAUGGUGAUCAUAGCCAGUGUACUCAGAUUCCCAAAUUUGAACAUUAUCGAUCCCAGAGGGGAAACCCUGAAGACCAGGAGCUGAAAAGCAUUGCACCCCUGUCUGCCCCCUACUUCCUAACCUGCCCCAUAACCUCCCAUCAUGCCUCACACUUCUGGCACCAUAACAACAGGACCAUUGACUGCCAGUUCAGCAAAUCGGACUGCCUCCACCUGAUUGAGGGAAUGAAACCAGACCUCUAUGGAAAGUAUCAGUGCUUUGCUGAAGAAAAGGGAUACCAGCGGCUGGUGACAGAAUACACACUGGUGCCCAGUUCAGGAACCACAGCACUCAGCUCCAAGGUGCAAGCCCUGGGGAGUAUCAUCCUGCUGGUGGGGCUCAUUCUCUGAGCUCAGUUCAAGUUUACUGUGGUGUAGUCGAACAGCCAUGUGCAUUUAACCAUGCUUUUCCCAUGCUUAUAUUUUGCUUGUAUUGUGCUUUUCCAUAGUUACCCAAAAGUCCCCUGGGCUAACAUUGUCUAAACCUUUUAAGAUUUUGAAUGCUUGACUCAGAUCCCCGCGUAGUCUUCUUUGUUCAAGACUGAAUAGAUUCAAUUCUUUUUAGCCUGUCUGCAUACGCCAUGCCUUUUAAACACGGGAUAAUUCUGGUUGCUCUUCUUUGCACUCUUUCUAGAGCACCAAUAUCCUUUUUGUAACGAGGUGACCGGAACUGAACACAAUAUUCUAGGUGAGGUCUUACUAAUGCAUUGUAAAGCUUUAACAUUACUUCCCUUGAUUUAAAUUCAACACUUCUCACAAUAUAUCAGAGCAUCUUGUUGGCCUUUUUUAUGGCUUCCCCACAUUGUCUAGAAGAAGACAUUUCUGAGUCAACAUAAACUCCUAGGUCUUUUUCAUACACUGCAUUGUUCAGGUAUGUUUCAAAAUGUGUUUCAAUAAAGUGAAUACACAUUCAUUGAAUACAUUGUGAGUACAGCAGUGUUAUUGUGUGAUAAGCAUGUAGAGGGAGGGGGAUUGCAGAGCUUUGCAUCUCCACUUAGUGAAAAACUGUGGGGAUAACUGUGGUUGCAAAGGUUUUAAAAUCUAGCACCUGGCUUGUCUGUGAGAAGGCCUCUCUAGGAUAUCUGUAAGACUGCACCGACCGGUGUCAUGGUAAAUAACUACACAUUGCGCCGACUUUUUAUUUUAAAUAUAUGUUUUAAAGUUUUUAAUGUUGAAAUAUUCUUUAUUAAAAAUGACACCUGUUUAGAAAAUGCAGUAACCUAUAGGCCUAGAUACAGUAAUGUAAACAUUACAGUAGGAUUUAUCUGUUGAAUGCAUUGUAAAACACUUUGAUCAAAAUGCUACAUAAAAACUAAUAAGUACACAAAUAAAUUGUGUUGUAAUUUAUAUGCACUUUAAAAUAUAUUUCUAAUAAGACGUGUUCUGUGUGCUGUGAACUGAGUUUAAACAAGUUAUUUUGGGUAGCGAGUUGCUUUUUUUAAAUAUUGUUUGUGCUAUAAAUAUAUUGAUUAUGAAUUGUAUAUGUCUGUGUUGUUAUUUAUAUCAGUUGUAACCUUGCCACUUCAAAUCCAUUCAACUGCAGGACUUCAGUUUCAACCACACAAGUCCUUAUUUAAUUGAGCUUUUAGGACAAGUCUGGUUGAAACACACUCAUGCAAUGUAUAAAAUGCUCUGCAAAAUCAUUACAGUAUUAUUUUUGUACAGCUUUUUGAAUAGUUAUUUCUUCAAAAUAUAUGUUGUUAGAAAUGCGUUAAUUAUUUGAUAUGUAUUAUUAGUUUUUCAUUUCAUAUAUGUUUUUUAAUUAUUCCUGAAUGCUAACAUUUUUCUACUUUCAAUUUACAAAAUCAAUCCUGGCACUUGCAAUCCAUUCCACAGCAGGACUUUGUUUCAACCUGACCUGUCAUUUAAAUAAGGAAUGUUAACUGAAACCUUCUUACCUUUUUUGAAUUAAUUAAUUUGUUCUUUUUUUUUUAACUAAAUAAAAAACCCUAAGGAAAUUCAUUGCAAAAACUGCGUUAAAGUAACCUUAAGGUUAUUCGAUCAAAACCCUAAAAAGUGAGAAAAUUGCGAGUUAAGGUAACUCUGCACCAUUAUGCGUAUUGUGACGGAAAUAUAAUGAGCUCUAGUUGUAAAUCUCCCUCUCGACCUGUGAGGGUAUGAAGUAGCGAAAGGGAAAGGCUUUGGACAGGUUGGUCUGACAGUUCAUUCCCUGGGUUGGGAGGUCAGUCAGCCUGGAAAAAGACGAGACUCCGUUGAAGGAAAGUAUUGACCUGGAAGGUAAACAAGUUAGCAGCUGCAGGCAAUAGAGUCAGCUGUAAUCGUUUACCAAGGGGUCAUGUAUAAACGCAUAAAAGGGGCCGGAGAAUUGUAAAUCUUUUCCUUCGCUUGGGUUUCAGAGUUACGAGGAGACUGGAAGGACCGGGAGAUAUCCUCAAACUGAAACAGAGUUUGUGAGUGUUUUGUUCAUGUUUUCUGUUUAGUAACUGUCUGUUUGUUUCGUUAAAUAGCACUAGACGGCUAAACAAAUCCGGAGCUGUCGCCAGGGGCCAGCACAAAGCCGGAUCACCACAGCACUUGUUUUCACCAAUAGCACGUAUUAUAUUGUGCUUCACCACAAGCACUGAGAGCACUCACUUUGGACCUGUGAUUGUGUGUGUUUUGUACCGUGUUUAUUGUUUGCGGGACUGCAACCCUUUUUUUCAUUACUGUGCAAUACACAAUGCUGUGUAUUGCCAGCUCUUUAUUAUUUACUGGCUGGUCAUCAGACAGUUGGAUUUCUAAUCAUUAAAACCCUCAUUUCACCCGUA